RNAcentral lists this long non-coding RNA (751 nucleotides) under Ananas comosus (pineapple). RNAcentral describes it as "long non-coding RNA (ACOM_LNC007993)". Lineage: Eukaryota; Viridiplantae; Streptophyta; Magnoliopsida; Poales; Bromeliaceae. The record is from RNAcentral.
UUACAUAUAUGCUCUGUAUUCUAGGAUUCUUCUAAGAUGAUACUUAGGGUGCGUUUGGUUCGCACUAUCUUUUAAAGAUUCCUAGUAAUCCAAUGGGAAUAAAAAAAUAUGACGGUGUUUGGCUAAACGCACUAAGUAAUCUAGUUGGUAAUAUUAGAUUCACUUGGGAAUAAGAUUCACCCCAAAGUACUAAUCUCAUUUCCUUAAGAGAGGGUGGGUAUUCUCAUAUUAAUGGAUUGGGAUAAUCAUAAUAUGUCUAAUUUCUUUCUUUCUUCUUACCCGCCGGCUAAUUGAUAUUAUUUUUCUUUACACUCUAACCUUAUUUCUCUCUCUAAACUUUUUUCUCUCUAAAAUUCAACUUUUUUUUCUCUCUCUAAACUAAGCUUUCUCUCUCUCUUUCUAAAAUUUCAACUCUCUCACUCCCUCUAGUUUCGACUAUAUUUUUCUUUCUAUUUUUUUAAUUAUGCUCUCUCUCUAAAUUAUACUCUCUCUCCUUUUUUUCUAAAAAGAUGUUGAAACUUUUGUUAACAUUAUCUAAAAUUAAUUAAAUAAAUAAAUAACUUAAUUGUAUAUUUUUUGUAAUAUUAAAUAACAUGGCUAAUUAAUAUUACCGUGCGAACCAAACACAGAAAUUUCACAUUCUUAGUAAUAGAAUGAAUAGGAAUAAGAUUCUCGGAUAUCUUUUAUUCCUAGUAAUAUUUCAUAAUGCGAACCAAAUGCACCCUUAGGUACUUUGGUAGCACGAAACAGU